GCCAGCGCGCCAGCCGCUAUUGGGGGAUGGAAACCACCUUAUAGAGUCUCUCCUCGGUCCUCGAUGCGAGCGGUUUGUCACAUGCUCCCGCCGUGCUCCCAAAGUGUUUCCUCUACGCCGUGACGAAAUCGUUAAAGAAAAAUCCCAUUUCACGAAACGAACGAGGCGUUGGUCGGUCGAUACGCGUCGCACGCUCGAUUCUUCCCAGUAUUUCUCUCCCGCGAAUAUUUUAUUUUGGAUUUUUCGUGCAACGAUGAUCGAAUCGGAACGCAAUUGUUCGAUCGCGGAGAGAGUGUCGAAGGAACUGAGGUAAACUUUGUGAUAUUGAUUCGAAGCAAGUGUUUGUGUUUGGACGACGAAGCGACGGGCGACGCGUGAUGGAGAUAUCGGUGUAAAAGAAGUAAAGAAGUUUGUGCACCAGAGCAGAGGAAUAAAUAUUCGUAUCUAAGAUGGUAAAAUAUAGAAAAUAUAUAUACAUUUACGGAUGUGAUAGGAGAAGGCGACGGUGAUGUACGAGAUGGCAGAGAAAUAUGGCGGUCACCACGUGACCCUUUUUAUAUCUUUAAGGUGCAGCGCACAGGGACAGGGGAAAAAAGAGAACGAGAACCUUGAACCAAUCGUAAAUGGCGUGGAGUGAAAGCGGUCGGUCUCCGCGGUUUUCCCAGAAGAGCGCGAGCCACGAAAUUAUCGACCUGUAAAUCGGAACGUAGGAUCUCUCGUUUCUUACUCUCUCAGGGUAUAUAUAUAUAUAUAUAUAUAUAUAUAUAUAUAUAUAUAUAUAAGCUCGCCUCUGUGUAUUACGGAAGAAAAAAAAAAGGAGAAAAAGGAUAAAAAAGCCGAUGGACCGAAAUGUAAAAAAAUGGAGAACGGUACCAAGUUCGAAUUCACGCGUUACGAAUGUUAUCCUCGCAUCAAUCCUCGAUGCUUCGCGCGAUUGAUUCUCAUCAUCCAUUUGACGGAUUGCGCACAUCGUCUAACGAUGUUUAGAUAUUUCAGAAAAUGAUUGGUUGGAGGCCUGCCCUUUCGAAGAUCCGUAUCGUUGUUGCACAAUACGAAUGAUUGAUGAGAGAGUGCACUACUUUCUGAUCUGCGGUUUCAAUAAAAACGAAAAAGAGAGAAAAAAAAAAAAGAAGAAAGAAGAAACUGUCUCAUUUAUUUUCGACCAACGAUAAACUCCUCCUGCUUCCAUUCCGGAUUAAUGGGUUACCGUUAUCCAUCGUAUCUCUCUUUCUUUCUAACGCUCUUCGAUUCGGUAUUAUUAUUACGGUAAUGGGGAAAUGAAACGGUAGUGGUGCUCGCCCACUCUCGAGAGAAAUUGCGUUACGUUGCGGAGGAGGACUAGAGAGAGAGGGAGAGGAUCGACGAGAAAGCGGUCGUGGGGAGGGGUGACGCCUCGAUCGAGAUGAGAUCGAGAAUGGUGACACUGCAACGUACAUACCCCCGUGACUCGAUUACACACUCGGGGUUACACCGUUAAUCAUCCUUAAUACUUCACGCGCGCAUAAUGGCGACUGGAUACGAUCGGUCACGGAUUGGAUUCCACGCUCCUCCAACGAUCCACGUCCUCCCACGUGUGCCGUGUCGCGCACAGGAUGGUGAAAUGAAACGAAUUCUCCGCGGUUCGGAAGCGGCGCCGGCGGCGGCGGCCAGUUUCACUUCAGAGUUCACAGUGAAUGGGCGUACAUGGAGACAAUCCAAUCCCGCUCGAUUCCCGAUUGGACGUCGCCUUCCUUCUAAUUGAGUCAUCGUGUCAUUAGUGAUAAUCGCGCGUGUAACGGAACGAACCAUCUCCUCUCGUUGAAAGAAUGGAGAGAGAGAGAGAGAGAGAGAGAGAGAGAGAUAAGAGGCGGCGUGAAAAAUAUGGACGAUACACCCUGAGAGGAUGGUGCGUACAUCGAUGCCCAAUUAAGCUCAAUUACAGCCGCGGAUAAUGGGCGAGCAUCGGUGAAAGAAUGAUUAUUCCGCGAACGAUCGGUUAGGAUGAUCGACCUUGGCUGAUUUUGCGCAACAUCCAUUCGCGAAGGAUAGAAGGAAUUAUCGAAUGGAAUGGAAAAAUGAGAUGGGAGGGGAAAAAAAAAAAAAAGAAUGGUAAGGUGCAGGAAGAAAAUUGAAAGGAAGGAAGGACGUAGGAGAUUGGAAUGGCGAUGAUUAACCGAGUUGGCUCGAUAGAUCCAAUCAGUCCCUGUUCUAAUUAAGAAAAUUUUAUCGAAAAUUAUUCGGUGGGUGUACACAUCAGGGGUGUGUGUACACUUGCGGCCGACAAAUGUCCUGUUACUUACGAACAAUGGAG
Apis mellifera (honey bee) is the source of this 2290-nucleotide long non-coding RNA. RefSeq lists it as uncharacterized. The record is from RefSeq and is a predicted model, not a curated record. Lineage: Eukaryota; Metazoa; Arthropoda; Insecta; Hymenoptera; Apidae. The transcript is spliced from 3 exons.